CCUACGGGAGGCAGCAGUGAGGAAUAUUGGUCAAUGGGCGGGAGCCUGAACCAGCCAAGUCGCGUGAGGGAAGACGGUCCUAUGGAUUGUAAACCUCUUUAGGCGGGGAGCAAUGCCGGGCACGUGUGCCCGGAGGGAGAGUACCCGCAGAAUAAGCAUCGGCUAACUCCGUGCCAGCAGCCGCGGUAAUACGGAGGAUGCGAGCGUUAUCCGGAUUUAUUGGGUUUAAAGGGUGCGCAGGCGGAAGAUCAAGUCAGCGGUAAAAUUGAGAGGCUCAACCUCUUCGAGCCGUUGAAACUGGUUGUCUUGAGAUGUCGAGAGGUAUGCGGAAUGCGCAGUGUAGCGGUGAAAUGCUUAGAUAUUGCGCAGAACUCCGAUUGCGAAGGCAGCAUACCGGCGGCGAUCUGACGCUGAGGCACGAAAGCGUGGGUAUCGAACAGGAUUAGAUACCCGGGUAGUC
Molecule: ribosomal RNA, 460 nt
Filed under: uncultured bacterium
Lineage: Bacteria
Description: partial 16S ribosomal RNA
Rfam family: Bacterial small subunit ribosomal RNA
Source: RNAcentral